GGGAGACAACUCUAGGGAUAAGUUUUUCUUUUCAUAUUUUCGUGCAGUAAAAGGUUCAUUUGAGCCAAACCGCUGGUCUCAUAUACACUUAUCGUGAGUGCGUUGAUAUUGAAACCAGAUUUGAUUGACAAAAUCAUUCCAAUUUUCGUAAAAUAGUCAUUCAAAAGUUGGAGCAUGAUGGUCGUAACUUUAAAUGUGUGAUGGUCGUAAAUUCAACUAUAAUAUUUUGGAUGAUGGUCGUAACUUUGAAAGAUGACCGUAACUCGAGUAUUUAGACAAACUUUUAUUAAUGUAUUUUAAAAGUAAAAGUAAUAAACUCAGAUGUCAUACAUGAUUUGUUACAAACAAUAUUAUUUGUUACCAUGAUAAUGGUAUGCAGAAAUUGAGCUAGAGAAUUAUUAAACACACACAGUUCUGAUGUAUUCAAAACGCUCAUCAUUUAGGAGGAACAAUGAAAACUGUUCAACUCGCAUUAAGCCAAAAAGUAUGUUUGGGUUGAGUAUUAAUAUUUUUUUUUACUGUACGUUAAGGCAUAAAAUUAUCAAAUGCACGUGUGGUCACUCAUAUUUUUUUUUUUAUUUUCGACUUUUUUUUCUGCAAUCAUGUCGGCAGAUGAAAUUAUUAAACGUACAAUUCUGAACAAUCAUCGUUAACUUUUAAUCAGCUAUUGCAGUUCUUAUAAAUUAUAGGGCUUCAAAUAUUCGGCUUUUGGUGGUUCAUGCGGAAAUUAAAUCCACAAAUACACUUCGGAGUCCUGGGUUGAGUUCAAUAUCGUAGCAGCUACGUAUAGUGCUACGUAGAUUUUGACUAUUGAACGUGUAGCUAUAGACUAGUUGCUACAUAGAUAUUGAUAGCAGCUAAGUAGCCGCUACGAUACUGAACUCAACCCAGGAUAUUUUAACUUGCUGUCUAUUGUUUAUCGAUUACAUAACGAUUAUAUAUAGCGGUAUAUCAUUGAUAUUAGUUCUAAGUAUUGGUACGGAAUGAAAACUGAAUCCAUUGUGUCGCAAUGAAAAUUGUAUUAAUCUCUCGAAAGUAGGAAUAGUGUUGAUAUAUAUAUUUUACACUUCUACAAGCGCUGACUUUAAGAGUAAAAUAAAAUACUAGUUUGAAGCCAGGCUUAAGCUUGUAACCAGGAUAAUAUGUCAGAGACUUAGGUAGAACUAAAUGUACUGCGGCGACUAUCACAUACAAACCCCACGGUAUGCAGAUUUAACAUUAUGUGUAUGUUAUAUGUUUAUAUUGUAUGAAUGGCUACACGCUACUCAUGGACUUCGUAAUGGACAUAACUGUCCACCUUAUUAUCAGCUUGAUUUCACCAAAUAACAAGAUGACUUUCAAUAAUCCAGGCUAAAAAUAAAGCGUAUGUUCUUUAACUCAGGUACGGACCUGCGAAUUCGCGGGAAUGGUCUAGUCUAGAUAACGACCUUCAUAACCUAUCAAUAUUAACUUUUAGAUUAUUUUGACUCCUUACUAAUGCUCUUUCGACUUAAUGUAUCAAUCUUAAAUUGUAGAUUAAAAAAAAAAUCAACUAGUAGGUACAUCCUCAAAAAGUUUUUACAAUGUUUAUUUUUAACAAAGAUGCAAAAUCUAAAGAAG
Molecule: long non-coding RNA, 1599 nt
Filed under: Mytilus galloprovincialis (Mediterranean mussel)
Lineage: Eukaryota; Metazoa; Mollusca; Bivalvia; Mytilida; Mytilidae
Source: RNAcentral